This 377-nucleotide ribosomal RNA is filed under the name uncultured eukaryote. Its description in RNAcentral is "partial 18S ribosomal RNA". It matches the Rfam family "Eukaryotic small subunit ribosomal RNA", at positions 592 to 976 of the family's 1831-position model. The record is from RNAcentral.
CAAUAGCGUAUAUUUAAGUUGCUGCAGUUAAAAAGCUCGUAGUUGGAUUUCGGGUGGGAAUGGCCGGUCCGCCGUUUCGGUGUGCACUUGCUACGCCCACCUUGCUGCCGGGGACGUGCUCUUGAGUUCACGCUCGGGACACGGAGUCGGCGAGGUUACUUUGAGUAAAUUAGAGUGUUCAAAGCAGGCCUACGCUCUGAAUACAUUAGCAUGGAAUAACACGAUAGGACUCUGGCCUAUCUUGUUGGUCUGUGAGACCAGAGUAAUGAUUAAGAGGGACAGUCGGGGACAUUCGUAUUUCAUUGUCAGAGGUGAAAUUCUUGGAUUUAUGAAAGACGAACUACUGCGAAAGCAUUUGCCAAGGAUGUUUUCAUUAA